Long non-coding RNA from Alosa sapidissima (American shad), 938 nucleotides. RefSeq lists it as uncharacterized. NCBI's taxonomy places the organism in Eukaryota, Metazoa, Chordata, Actinopteri, Clupeiformes, Clupeidae. The transcript is spliced from 2 exons. The record is from RefSeq and is a predicted model, not a curated record.
ACUUCCCCUUGCCGUUCACCAUAGUGGGUCCGCGCUCUAGUGCUUAACCGUAUAAAUGGCCUUUUAAGUGAAUUCCAUAUUAAUAAAUCUUGUUUAUUUUUGUACUGGAAUCACGUCUCUGUCUUUACUUAUCUUAUCUGUGUGUCUCAUCAAAUACACUUGGGUUUAUAACAUAUCUUGGCGUGAAAGGCCCCAAGUGGCGUAGUCGUGCACUUAUAUGUACCCUAUAGGUACAGUCGGUCACACUUUAUCUGCCAAGUAAUUGUCAAAUACAUAGCGAAGUUUGCAUGGAAGAGACUGACGUGACGGAAUUGCCUUUCAUUAAGUCAGUGAUCUUUGUAAGUAGGACAAAUGUCUUUUUUUGGAUAACUGAAAAGUGUAGUCAGGUUAAUAGGGCAUAGAUCACUCUGAAAGUAAUCCCCAACAAAAUCAUUCUUUAUGUUAUUGUUAUAGUUUUUGUGUGGACUUGUGGCACCCCCAACCAGCCUUGCAAAUGGUUGGCUGUGUAUGGGACCAAGGAUGCAGAGGACGAGAAGGGUGUGCGAUAUAUGACUGGAAUGGUCAGAUAAGAUCAUUUUUUAUGUUUGAGGAGCACACGAUGGGGCCCUUACACAAAUGGAGUUGUGUUGAUCCAACAUCUUCCACACCUCCCAUAACACUCCCGACUCCAGCCAAAUGUUGCAUCCUCCUUACCAUGUCCCUCUUAUAGGUGUACACGGAGGGCUACCCAUCCCUUCCACAUUGUGUCUUUUGUGUAGUACACACGUAUUGUUCAAACUUUGGAAGCGGAAAUCUUUUUAUUUUUUGGAAACCUAAAUGAGUGUCAGACCUCCUUUUUAUGUUGCAGUGCUACCAUACCUUCCUCCCAGUCUUUUUUGCAUUUGUUCCUGUUUUAAACACACAUUGAAAACUUAAUAAAAAUUCUAUUGAAAACCUAA